UACGUAGGGUGCAAGCGUUGUCCGGAAUUAUUGGGCGUAAAGAGCUCGUAGGCGGUUCGUCGCGUCGGCUGUGAAAUCCCGAGGCUCAACCUCGGGUCUGCAGUCGAUACGGGCGGACUGGAGUUCGGCAGGGGAGACUGGAAUUCCCGGUGUAGCGGUGAAAUGCGUAGAGAUCGGGAGGAAUACCGGUGGCGAAAGCGACUCUCUGGACGGCAACUGACGCUGAGGCACGAAAGCGUGGGGAGCAAACAGG
RNAcentral lists this ribosomal RNA (253 nucleotides) under uncultured bacterium. RNAcentral describes it as "partial 16S ribosomal RNA". It matches the Rfam family "Bacterial small subunit ribosomal RNA", at positions 524 to 776 of the family's 1533-position model. The record is from RNAcentral.